GCGUAUAUUAAAGUUGUUGCAGUUAAAAAGCUCGUAGUUGGAUUUCUGGUUGAAGCGACCGGUCGGGCGUUGAUUCGUCUGCACUGGAGUCGGUUUUGGCCAUCCUCUAGGAAAGUGCGUCUGGUAUUAAGUUGUCGGGCGUAUGAUCCUGGUCUUUUACUGUGAAAAAAUUAGAGUGUUUAAAGCAGGCCUUCGCCUUGAAUACAUUAGCAUGGAAUAAUAAGAUAGGACUUUGGUCUAUUUUGUUGGUUUGCAGACCGAAGUAAUGAUUAAUAGGGAUAGUUGGGGGUAUUUAUAUUCCGAUGUCAGAGGUGAAAUUCUUAGAUUUUCGGAAGAUAAACUUAUGCGAAAGCAUUUACCAAGGAUGUUUUCAUUAAUCAAGAACGAAAGUUAGGGGAUCGAAGAUGAUUAGAUACCAUCGUAGUCUUAACCAUAAACUAUGCCGACUCAGGAUUGGUGGACGUUUAUUUAAUGACUCCAUCAGCACUGUAUGAGAAAUCAAAGUCUUUGGGUUCCGGGGGGAGUAUGGUCGCAAGGCUGAAACUU
RNAcentral lists this ribosomal RNA (546 nucleotides) under uncultured stramenopile. Its description in RNAcentral is "SSU rRNA". It matches the Rfam family "Eukaryotic small subunit ribosomal RNA", at positions 597 to 1145 of the family's 1831-position model. The record is from RNAcentral.